Long non-coding RNA from Sinocyclocheilus anshuiensis, 202 nucleotides. RefSeq lists it as uncharacterized. The record is from RefSeq and is a predicted model, not a curated record. The transcript is spliced from 3 exons. Lineage: Eukaryota; Metazoa; Chordata; Actinopteri; Cypriniformes; Cyprinidae.
ACUACCUGCUGACAUGACCAGACCUUGGUGUCCUAGAAAUUUUCAUCCCAGGCACAGCAAGUCCCAAAGAUUCUUUAAGCUUUAGGAGAUACCGAGGGCACGUCAGAGUCUGAUGACCCAGCAAUGUUGAUUAGAAGUCCUCCUGAAAAAAUCAAGUUGAGGAACGUCGUCUUGCCCAAAUGUUCGAAGAUAUCCUAAAGAG